RNAcentral lists this ribosomal RNA (876 nucleotides) under Cadophora prunicola. RNAcentral's name for it is "partial large subunit ribosomal RNA". It matches the Rfam family "Eukaryotic large subunit ribosomal RNA", at positions 34 to 928 of the family's 3401-position model. Lineage: Eukaryota; Fungi; Ascomycota; Leotiomycetes; Helotiales; Ploettnerulaceae. The record is from RNAcentral.
UUAAGCAUAUCAAUAAGCGGAGGAAAAGAAACCAACAGGGAUUACCUCAGUAACGGCGAGUGAAGCGGUAACAGCUCAAAUUUGAAAGCUAGCUCUUCUAGGGUUCGCAUUGUAAUUUGUAGAAGAUGCUUCGGGUGUGGCCCCGGUCUAAGUUCCUUGGAACAGGACGUCAUAGAGGGUGAGAAUCCCGUAUGUGACUGGGUGCUUUCGCUCAUGUGAAGCUCUUUCGACGAGUCGAGUUGUUUGGGAAUGCAGCUCAAAAUGGGUGGUAAAUUUCAUCUAAAGCUAAAUAUUGGCCAGAGACCGAUAGCGCACAAGUAGAGUGAUCGAAAGAUGAAAAGCACUUUGGAAAGAGAGUUAAACAGUACGUGAAAUUGUUGAAAGGGAAGCGCUUGCAACCAGACUUGCGCGCUGAUGAUCAUCCGGGCUUCUGCCCGGUGCACUCGUCUGCGCUCAGGCCAGCAUCGGUUUCGGUGGUGGGAUAAAGGCCUUGGGAAUGUAGCUUCUUUCGGGGAGUGUUAUAGCCCUCGGUGCAAUGCCGCCUACCGGGACCGAGGACCGCGCUUCGGCUAGGAUGCUGGCGUAAUGGUUGUAAGCGACCCGUCUUGAAACACGGACCAAGGAGUCUAACAUCUAUGCGAGUGUUUGGGUGUCAAACCCAUACGCGUAAUGAAAGUGAACGGAGGUGAGAACCCUUAAGGGUGCAUCAUCGACCGAUCCUGAUGUCUUCGGAUGGAUUUGAGUAAGAGCAUAGCUGUUGGGACCCGAAAGAUGGUGAACUAUGCGUGAAUAGGGUGAAGCCAGAGGAAACUCUGGUGGAGGCUCGCAGCGGUUCUGACGUGCAAAUCGAUCGUCAAAUUUGCGUAUAGGGCGAAA